GAUGAACGCUGGCGGCGUGCGUAAUACAUGCAAGUCGAGCGAACAGACGAGGAGCUUGCUCCUCUGACGUUAGCGGCGGACGGGUGAGUAACACGUGGAUAACCUACCUAUAAGACUGGGAUAACUUCGGGAAACCGGAGCUAAUACCGGAUAAUAUAUUGAACCGCAUGGUUCAAUAGUGAAAGACGGUUUUGCUGUCACUUAUAGAUGGAUCCGCGCCGCAUUAGCUAGUUGGUAAGGUAACGGCUUACCAAGGCGACGAUGCGUAGCCGACCUGAGAGGGUGAUCGGCCACACUGGAACUGAGACACGGUCCAGACUCCUACGGGAGGCAGCAGUAGGGAAUCUUCCGCAAUGGGCGAAAGCUUGACGGAGCAACGCCGCGUGAGUGAUGAAGGUCUUCGGAUCGUAAAACUCUGUUAUUAGGGAAGAACAAAUGUGUAAGUAACUAUGCACGUCUUGACGGUACCUAAUCAGAAAGCCACGGCUAACUACGUG
This 497-nucleotide ribosomal RNA is filed under the name uncultured bacterium. RNAcentral's name for it is "partial 16S ribosomal RNA". It matches the Rfam family "Bacterial small subunit ribosomal RNA", at positions 28 to 507 of the family's 1533-position model. The record is from RNAcentral.